This 352-nucleotide long non-coding RNA is filed under the name Sorghum bicolor (sorghum). RNAcentral's name for it is "long non-coding RNA (SBIC_LNC018651)". Lineage: Eukaryota; Viridiplantae; Streptophyta; Magnoliopsida; Poales; Poaceae. The record is from RNAcentral.
GUGGGUAGUAGAUACACCUAAUUCUACUGUCGGACACUUGUCCAUUUUUUCCGCUCAAGUGGGCAUCUUUGUACCCCUAAUUCUACUUCGGACACUUGUCCAUUUUUACCUCUCGUCUCACUCUUUUUCUUUCUUUUACGAGGUUCCGGGCACUUGCCCCUUUUUAUUUCCUCACAUAUUUUUGCAUAACCCAUGCCUCUUCUGCAUUAAAUCUUUUCAGAGAGAGAGAAUAACAAUAUUUGGGACAGUGAGUGAUAAUAUUUUUAGCAAUUCUAAUGAUUGGUGAUGAAUGUUGUGGUAGAUGUGUGCAAGUGGAUAUCUUAAUUUAACCACAUGAAAAGCUCCUAAGGGU